Molecule: ribosomal RNA, 1459 nt
Filed under: metagenome
Description: bacterial SSU rRNA
Rfam family: Bacterial small subunit ribosomal RNA
Source: RNAcentral
AGAGUUUGAUCCUGGCUCAGGAUGAACGCUGGCGGCGUGCUUAACACAUGCAAGUCGAACGGGAAACCCAUUUCGGUGGGUGGAGAGUGGCGCACGGGUGAGUAACACGUAGCUCAUCUGCCCUCAAGCGGGGGAUAACGGUUCGAAAGGACAGCUAAAACCCCAUAAGCUCACGGGACGUAGGACACAGUGAGAAAAGUGUAAGUGCUUGAGGAGGAGGCUGCGGCCCAUCAGGUAGUUGGAGCGGUAACGGCGCACCAAGCCAACGACGGGUAGGGGGCCUGAGAGGGUGAUCCCCCACACUGGGACUGAGACACGGCCCAGACUCCUACGGGAGGCAGCAGUGAGGAAUAUUGGUCAAUGGGCGCAAGCCUGAACCAGCGACGCCGCGUGGGCGAUGAAGGUCUUCGGAUCGUAAAGCCCUUUUUGAGGUGACGAGAACGGACGGUAGCCUCAGAAGAAGUCUCGGCUAACUACGUGCCAGCAGCCGCGGUAAAACGUAGGAGACAAGCGUUAUCCGGAAUUACUGGGCGUAAAGCGCGUGUAGGCGGGUUGGUAAGUGGGUCGUGAAAGCCCCCGGCUAAACUGGGGGAGGUCGAUCCCGACUGCCAGUCUGGAGUUUCCCAGAGGCAGAUGGAAUUCCGGGUGUAGUGGUGAAAUGCGUAGAGAUCCGGAGGAACACCAGUGGCGAAGGCGGUCUGCUGGGGGAAAACUGACGCUGAGACGCGACAGCAUGGGGAGCGAACGGGAUUAGAAACCCCGGUAGUCCAUGCCGUAAACGAUGCCGACUAGGCGUUCCUUGGGGGAAACUCUUGGGAGUGCCAAAGCUAACGCGAUAAGUCGGCCGCCUGGGGAGUACGAUCGCAAGGUUAAAACUCAAAGGAAUUGACGGGGGCCCGCACAAGCAGCGGAGCGUGUGGUUUAAUUCGAGGCUACACGAAGAACCUUACCUAGGCUUGACAUACGAGUGGUAGGGAAGUGAAAGCGGACCGACCUUCGGGAGCUCGUACAGGUGCUGCAUGGCUGUCGUCAGCUCGUGUCGUGAGAUGUUCGGUUAAGUCCGAAAACGAGCGCAACCCUCGGGGCUAGUUACAGGUGUCUAGCGCGACUGCCCGUGACAAACGGGAGGAAGGUGGGGAUGACGUCAAGUCAGCAUGGCCUUUAUGUCUAGGGCUACACACACGCUACAAUGGGCAGUACAAUGGGAAGCGAAGUUGCGAGAUGGAGCGAAUCCUAAAAAGCUGUUCGUAGUUCGGAUUGCAGGCUGCAACUCGCCUGCAUGAAGUCGGAGUUGCUAGUAACCGCGCGUCAGCUAUAGUGCGGUGAAUACGUUCCCGGGCCUUGUACACACCGCCCGUCACGUCAUGGGAGCUGGUCACGCCUGAAGUCGGGGAGCCAACCGCAAGGGAGCUACCGCCGAAGGCAGGGCUGGUGACUGGGACGAAGUCGUAACAAGGUA